This 353-nucleotide ribosomal RNA is filed under the name uncultured cyanobacterium. Its description in RNAcentral is "bacterial SSU rRNA". It matches the Rfam family "Bacterial small subunit ribosomal RNA", at positions 356 to 724 of the family's 1533-position model. Lineage: Bacteria; Bacillati; Cyanobacteriota. The record is from RNAcentral.
GGGGAAUUUUCCGCAAUGGGCGCAAGCCUGACGGAGCAAGACCGCGUGCGGGAGGACGGCCUAUUGGUUGUAAACCGCUUUUGAUAGGGAAGAAGUUCUGACGGUACCUAUCGAAUCAGCAUCGGCUAACUCCGUGCCAGCAGCCGCGGUAAUACGGAGGAUGCAAGCGUUAUCCGGAAUUAUUGGGCGUAAAGCGUCCGUAGGUGGUUGUUCAAGUCUGCUGUUAAAGCGUGCGGCUUAACCGCAUACCAGCAGUGGAAACUGGGCGACUAGAGUGCGGUAGGGGUCAGGGGAAUUCCCAGUGUAGCGGUGAAAUGCGUAGAUAUUGGGAAGAACACCGGUGGCGAAAGCGC